UACGAGGGGUGCAAGCAUUAUUCGGAAUUAUUGGGCGUAAAGGGUGCGUAGGCGGCAUAUUAAGUCAACUGUUAAAUUCCUCGGCCUAACCGAGGCCAUGCGGUAGAUACUGAUAUGCUAGAGGGUGGAAGAGAGAAGUGGAAUUCUCGGAGUAGCGGUAAAAUGCGUAGAUCUCGAGAGGAACACCAAUGGCGAAGGCAGCUUCUUGGUCCACACCUGACGCUGAGGCACGAAAGCGUGGGGAGCAAACAGG
Molecule: ribosomal RNA, 253 nt
Filed under: uncultured bacterium
Lineage: Bacteria
Description: partial 16S ribosomal RNA
Rfam family: Bacterial small subunit ribosomal RNA
Source: RNAcentral